Molecule: ribosomal RNA, 460 nt
Filed under: uncultured bacterium
Lineage: Bacteria
Description: partial 16S ribosomal RNA
Rfam family: Bacterial small subunit ribosomal RNA
Source: RNAcentral
CCUACGGGGUGCAGCAGUGAGGAAUAUUGGUCAAUGGACGAGAGUCUGAACCAGCCAAGUAGCGUGAAGGAUGACUGCCCUAUGGGUUGUAAACUUCUUUUAUAUGGGAAUAAAAUGUUCCACGUGUGGGAUUUUGUAUGUACCAUAUGAAUAAGGAUCGGCUAACUCCGUGCCAGCAGCCGCGGUAAUACGGAGGAUCCGAGCGUUAUCCGGAUUUAUUGGGUUUAAAGGGAGCGUAGGUGGAUUGUUAAGUCAGUUGUGAAAGUUUGCGGCUCAACCGUAAAAUUGCAGUUGAAACUGGCAGUCUUGAGGACAGUAGAGGUGGGCGGAAUUCGUGGUGUAGCGGUGAAAUGCUUAGAUAUCACGAAGAACUCCGAUUGCGAAGGCAGUUCACUGGACUGCAACUGACACUGAGGCUCGAAAGUGUGGGUAUCAAACAGGAUUAGAUACCCCUGUAGUC